GACGAACGCUGGCGGCGUGCUUAACACAUGCAAGUCGAACGGAAAGGCCCUGCUCUUGUGGGGUGCGCGAGUGGCGAACGGGGGAGUAACACGUGAGUAACCUGUCCUUGACUUUGGGAGAACAUCAGGAAACUGGGGCUAAUACCGGAUAGGAGCUCCUGCUGCAUGGUGGGGGUGGGUAAGUUGCGGUGUUUGGGCAUGGACGCGCGGUCUAUCAGCUUGUUGGUGGGGUAGUGGCUUACCAAGGCUUCGACGGGUAGCCGGCCUGGGAGGGUGACCGGCCCCAUUGGGCCUGAGAUGCGACCAGGACUCCUUCGGGAGGCAGCAGUGGGGAAUAUUGCGAGAUGGGCGGCGGCCGUGUGCAGCAACUCCGCAUGCUGGAUCACGGCCUUCGGGUUGUAACGCGCUUGCGCCUGUGACGAAGCGUGAGUGACGGUAAUGGGUAAAGAAGCACCGGCUAACUACGUG
This 468-nucleotide ribosomal RNA is filed under the name uncultured bacterium. Its description in RNAcentral is "partial 16S ribosomal RNA". It matches the Rfam family "Bacterial small subunit ribosomal RNA", at positions 28 to 507 of the family's 1533-position model. The record is from RNAcentral.